CCUACGGGAGGCAGCAGUGGGGAAUAUUGGACAAUGGGCGAAAGCCUGAUCCAGCAAUGCCGCGUGAGUGAAGAAGGCCUUCGGGUUGUAAAGCUCUUUUACCCGGGAAGAUAAUGACUGUACCGGGAGAAUAAGCCCCGGCUAACUCCGUGCCAGCAGCCGCGGUAAUACGGAGGGGGCUAGCGUUGUUCGGAAUUACUGGGCGUAAAGCGUACGUAGGCGGCUUUGUAAGUCAGAGGUGAAAGCCCACGACUCAAUCGUGGAACUGCCUUUGAGACUGCUUCGCUUGAAGAUGGGAGAGGUUAGUGGAAUUCCGAGUGUAGAGGUGAAAUUCGUAGAUAUUCGGAAGAACACCAGUGGCGAAGGCGGCUAACUGGACCAUUCUUGACGCUGAGGUACGAAAGCGUGGGGAGCAAACAGGAUUAGAUACCCUGGUAGUCCACGCCGUAAACGAUGAUAACUAGCUGUCGGGGCUCUUGGAGCUUCGGUGGCGCAGCUAACGCAUUAAGUUAUCCGCCUGGGGAGUACGGCCGCAAGGUUAAACUCAAAUGAAUUGACGG
This 560-nucleotide ribosomal RNA is filed under the name uncultured bacterium. Its description in RNAcentral is "bacterial SSU rRNA". It matches the Rfam family "Bacterial small subunit ribosomal RNA", at positions 338 to 916 of the family's 1533-position model. The record is from RNAcentral.